Molecule: ribosomal RNA, 301 nt
Filed under: uncultured bacterium
Lineage: Bacteria
Description: partial 16S ribosomal RNA
Rfam family: Bacterial small subunit ribosomal RNA
Source: RNAcentral
CAGCCGCCACGGUAAUACAGAGGGUGCGAGCGUUAAUCGGAUUUACUGGGCGUAAAGCGUGCGUAGGCGGCUUCUUAAGUCGGAUGUGAAAUCCCUGAGCUUAACUUAGGAAUUGCAUUCGAUACUGGGAAGCUAGAGUAUGGGAGAGGAUGGUAGAAUUCCAGGUGUAGCGGUGAAAUGCGUAGAGAUCUGGAGGAAUACCGAUGGCGAAGGCAGCCAUCUGGCCUAAUACUGACGCUGAGGUACGAAAGCGUGGGGAGCAAACAGGAUUAGAUACCCCUGUAGUCCCUGUCUCUUAUAC